AGAGUUUGAUCAUGGCUCAGGAUGAACGCUAGCGGCAGGCCUAAUACAUGCAAGUCGAACGGUAAGUAUGGUAGCAAUACUGUACCAAGAAUGACGCACGGGUGCGUAACACGUAUGCAACCUACCCUUUACAGGAGGAUAGCUCGGGGAAACUCGAAUUAACCCUUCAUAGUAUAAUUGAAUGGCAUCAUUUGGUUAUUAAAACUGAGGUGGUAAAGGAUGGGCAUGCGUCUGAUUAGUUAGUUGGUAGUGUAACGGACUACCAAGACGAUGAUCAGUAGGGGAACUGAGAGGUUGAUCCCCCACACUGGCACUGAGAUACGGGCCAGACUCCUACGGGAGGCAGCAGUAGGGAAUAUUGGUCAAUGGGUGAGAGCCUGAACCAGCCAUGCCGCGUGCAGGAAGACGGCCUUCUGGGUUGUAAACUGCUUUUGUCAGGGGAUAAAAUUUCCUUGCGAGGAAAAUUGAAGGUACCUGGCGAAUAAGCCACGGCUAACUACGUGCCAGCAGCCGCGGUAAUACGUAGGUGGCAAGCGUUGUCCGGAUUUAUUGGGUUUAAAGGGUGCGUAGGCGGCCUAUUAAGUCAGUGCUGAAAUAUCCCGGCUUAACCGGGAGGGUGGCAUUGAUACUGAUGGGCUAGAGUACAGAUGAGGUAGGCGGAAUUGACGGUGUAGCGGUGAAAUGCUUAGAUAUCGUCAAGAACACCUAUAGCGAAGGCAGCUUACUAGGCUGUAACUGACGCUGAGGCACGAAAGUGUGGGGAUCAAACAGGAUUAGAUACCCUAGUAGUCC
Molecule: ribosomal RNA, 792 nt
Filed under: uncultured bacterium
Lineage: Bacteria
Description: bacterial SSU rRNA
Rfam family: Bacterial small subunit ribosomal RNA
Source: RNAcentral